CCUACGGGAGGCAGCAGUGGGGAAUAUUGGGCAAUGGGCGCAAGCCUGACCCAGCAACGCCGCGUGAAGGAAGAAGGCUCUCGGGUUGUAAACUUCUUUUGUCGGGGAACAAAGGCGGAGCCGCGUCUCCGGAUUAGUGUACCCGAAGAAACAGCAUCGGCUAACCCCGUGCCAGCAGCCGCGGUAAUACGGAGGAUGCGAGCGUUAUCCGGAUUUAUUGGGUUUAAAGGGGGCGCGGGCGGGAGAUCAAGUCAGCGGUAAAUUGUCGGGGCUCAACCCCGGCCGGCCGUUGAAACUGGUUGUCUAGAGUUGGAGAGAAGUAGGCGGAAUUCGUGGUGUAGCGGUGAAAUGCAUAGAUAUCACGAAGAACUCCGAUUGCGAAGGCAGCAUACCGGCUCCAUACUGACGCUGAGGCACGAAAGCGUGGGGAUCGAACAGGAUUAGAUACCCUUGUAGUC
This 458-nucleotide ribosomal RNA is filed under the name uncultured bacterium. RNAcentral describes it as "partial 16S ribosomal RNA". It matches the Rfam family "Bacterial small subunit ribosomal RNA", at positions 338 to 795 of the family's 1533-position model. The record is from RNAcentral.